CCUGCCUGGCAGCCUGAAAAUCCCCGCCAGCUACAUGUCUGUGGCCUCUUUUGCAGAGAAACACAAGGUCAUGAGGUGGCAAGGCUGAAGGACCAACUGCCAGGACAGAGAACAAAGAGAAGGAGAAACCAAGAGGAGUGCCAUACAACUCCUGGCCUAAAGGCUGACGAUGAGCCAUCAGCCAUGGGAAGGUGGACCAGGGUGGGGUGUGAAUCUUUAGAAGCUGCUGAAUGAGGUGUAAGCAGUGGCCUGUCCUCGUAACUGUGGGCUUUGUGGACUACGAUCUUGAAGAGAAAGAGUGCUGUCAACUCAGAAGGAGUUUCAGACUAGAAGCCUCUUGGCAGGCCGAGAGCUCUAUUCUCUGUUGAAGUAUCUGAUCACUGGCAGUUUCAUUCCCUCUUCGUUUCCCUUUUGACUCUUGAACAUAAGGGAUUGAGCACAAACUGGCAGUGAAUGAUAUCCCUCCCAACUCCGGGUGAUUAUGUGCGUUAAUAAUGAUGAGCGUGUCUAUGUAAUAUUUGCAUGAAAAACUGUAGACAUCUGGUGGCGUAUGCUGGUGUGUGUGGUGUUUGUUGGGAAACAGAAGCAAAAGCUAAAUGCUGAUGAAACGUGAAAUCUAACCGUUCUGACUAAGACUAAAAAUAAAGUCGGCAGGCUUUCUGGGUUUUUGCACGCCAGCAGUUUUGAACCACUCACACCCGCUACUAGGUUAGGUUACCGUGGAAACGCUCCGCUGUGCAUAUACAGCAAACGGAGUACACAGUUCGUGGGCCUGGACCCUGGGGGUCCUAUUACAGAAUUUUGUAUGUUUAGAAAUAUUUUGUAAUAAGGCCCCUGGCGUCACUUAUUAGUAAUGAAAUGUGCAACUGCCUCCAUCCUCAUCAACAACAAAUUUGUUUCUUAUGGAAAUGAAUCGUCAUGCUUUCAGCCAAAUGCAUACCCUGAAAAUUAAAAGACAGGCUGUGCAGGAAGUGAUGGGUCCAGGCUCCAGUGUGAUGUUCAGUACACAGCGGGACAAAACUGCAAAAUUCGGAAGGAUUAUCUUCAGCGUUUGCCUUAAGCCUCCAUUAAAAGUUUAGCAGCACUUUACGAGCUCAAAGAAACCUCCACAGCAGUCUCUACAAAGCUGUUCCAACUACUUCUUUUCUGUUUACAUGAAAGACAGUGAACUCACUGGUGAUCUUAAUACAUACAUCAAUUAAUUUAAUUGACUUAAGGGUUGUUCUUACAUAAAAUGCUACUCUUUGGAUUGUUUUAGAAGAUAUCAAUUUGUCAUUAAAAAAGAAAAUACUGUACAGUAGCUUUUAAAUAUUUUUGUUCUGACUCCUUUAAUGUCUGUUUUGCUAAAUGCUUAGCCACAAAAGCCUGGGUUGAAUAAGGGCUUCUUUGCUAAAAUAAAAAUAAUCUAAAAUGUAGAUGUGUCUAGAACUAUCAUGAAAGUGUAAAUUAAUUAGCCACACUGAACCUCAAUCAGUAGUGUCUCUAAAUUCAUCUUUCUUUUAUGCCAUUCUCUUUUCUAAAACAUAUUUCACUUGAAAGUAGCCAUUCUGGUUACUAGUUCUCUUUUUUGAGCCAAAGUCACAGUCAGUAAGAAAUUCUUGUGGUUUGUUUUUUUUUUUUUUACUAUUGUAGUUAAUAAUUCAUUAAUAAAUAUUGGAAUUUGGACUUUGUGCCAGGGGCCAUGCUAAGGGCUAACUGCCAAAGGUGAAGAUAUGAAAAUAAAUAAGAGAUUAUCCUUAUACUAAGAGGGUCCACUUUCUUUUGGGGAAAUAUUAAAAUAUGUAUGGAAAAGUUACAUUAUACAAUAUCAAACAACGAGCAAUGUCAUGAAGCAGGUAGUAUUCAGCACCAAACUAUAACUACAAAUAGAGUUAUGUAGAGGUAGUACUUCAUGCUGUGUGACAGAAGAGCCUGAGAAGAAUUUCUGAAUGGAAAGGGAUGGAAUAACAGUGUCUUGUGUGUCUGUGUUCCAUGGUAAAACUUUAUACAUCUUUUUACCAGCUUCAUGAAGGUAUUUAUAGAAUGUAAAAUUCACUUGUUUUAGCUGUACAAGUCAAUGGUUUUUAAGUCAAUAUGCACAGUUGUGUAACCAGCAUCAUAAUAAAAUUUUAUAACAUUUUCAUCACCUUACAAGACUCUCUCAAUUUUCAAUUAAUUAUUGUUUCUAUUCCCUGCCCUGUACCAC
Long non-coding RNA from Chinchilla lanigera (long-tailed chinchilla), 2185 nucleotides. Ensembl lists it as uncharacterized. The record is from Ensembl. Lineage: Eukaryota; Metazoa; Chordata; Mammalia; Rodentia; Chinchillidae.